Non-coding RNA from Theobroma cacao (cacao), 779 nucleotides. The record is from RefSeq and is a predicted model, not a curated record. Lineage: Eukaryota; Viridiplantae; Streptophyta; Magnoliopsida; Malvales; Malvaceae.
GCCUUUAACAAGUGGUCUAUGCUUAUGUACUUUGUUUUCUAGAUUUUCUUUUGUUUUUUUUUUACCCGCAAUAAUCCAUAUGUUUCUUUUCUAUAAAAAAUAAUCAACAUGUUUUGAAAUUCCUGGACUAACAAAACAUGAUGAAUCUUAAAAAUCAAGCCCACCUGAUUUUGUUACGUGAUUGCUUGCAACUUUUUCAUUAAUUUAUUAUUCUCACUGUUGUUUUUACUUGUUAUCUGAUGUUUUCCCGGGUUUCAAAGUACUACUAAAGUUGCAAGAUGGCUGGCAUGUUACAUGCUUGUUCAAGAAUUCCACCAGCUGGAUGAAUUAAUUUGCUAGUGCCUUCCACACCUGCUUCUCCACCAUGACAUGACUGCACAUUAUCAGGAUUUAGUACCAAUUCCCUCUUUCUUCCAACACUGGGGAGUUUUCACCACUAGAUUCUUCUGGAUUCGUGAAUGCCCGACUAAAUAGAAUUUCCAUUGGGUAUGCUAAACUGGUGCAAGCCACAUCAAGAUUCUCUAUAUAUAAUGGUUUCCAGGAUUAUAUUUGGACAACAGAAACUUCAAAAGAAAGAGGCCUGAGUUUGAAAUGUAGCUGGAGCAGGUGGGAAAAGCCUUGCAUGUAUAUCAGCUAAAAGAGUGCUACAACUGUCUUUCUCUCAUUCACAGUGAGCUUUGCUUCAAAUAUUCGAUUGAGUGGUAGAAACACAUUAGGCCUUGAAUCUAAUUUGUAGCUGAAAUCUUAAUCAACUUAUAAAUCACUAAUUUAUUGAUUCA